RNAcentral lists this ribosomal RNA (170 nucleotides) under Ophiostoma piceae. RNAcentral describes it as "partial 28S ribosomal RNA". It matches the Rfam family "Eukaryotic large subunit ribosomal RNA", at positions 1 to 171 of the family's 3401-position model. Lineage: Eukaryota; Fungi; Ascomycota; Sordariomycetes; Ophiostomatales; Ophiostomataceae. The record is from RNAcentral.
GUUGACCUCGGAUCAGGUAGGAUUACCCGCUGAACUUAAGCAUAUCAAUAAGCGGAGGAAAAGAAACCAACAGGGAUUGCCCCAGUAACGGCGAGUGAAGCGGCAACAGCUCAAAUUUGAAAUCUGGCCCUCGGGUCCGAGUUGUAAUUUGGAGAGGAUGCUUUUGGCGC